UAAGGAAUAUUGCUCAAUGGGAGAAAUCCUGAAGCAGCAACGCCGCGUGGAGGAUGAAGGGUCUAUGACUUGUAAACUCCUGUAAAGAAGGAAAAAAUUCCCAUUUGAUGGGAGAUGAUGGUACUUCUGGAGUAAGCCCCGGCUAACUACGUGCCAGCAGCCGCGGUAAUACGUAGGGGGCAAGCGUUGUCAGGAUUUACUGGGUGUAAAGGGUGCUCAGGCGGAUUUGUAAGUCAGAGGUGAAAUCUUACAGCUUAACUGCGAAACUGCCUUUGAUACUGCAAGCCUAGAGUAUGGAAGAGAGAGAUGGAAUAUCUGGUGUAGCAGUGAAAUGCGUAGAUAUCAGAUAGAACACCAAUGGCGAAGGCAGUCACUUGGUCCAUUACUGACGCUAAAGCACGAAAGCGUGGGUAGCAAACA
This 420-nucleotide ribosomal RNA is filed under the name uncultured bacterium. Its description in RNAcentral is "bacterial SSU rRNA". It matches the Rfam family "Bacterial small subunit ribosomal RNA", at positions 355 to 774 of the family's 1533-position model. The record is from RNAcentral.